GGGGGAGAGAGGGAGGGGGUGCUCGAUGCUGCGAAGAAUAAAUAUAUAAAACAUAUCACUAUGAACGCGAUCAGAAGUCCAGCUUUUUCGUAUCUACAAAUUAUUAUCUCGUCGACAAAAAGGAACUAUUACAAAAAAAAAUAACAGAUCCACACAACACAAUGGCACGUUAGCCACGUUAGCUCAACACUGCUAGCCAAACGCUGUUAGCUAAACAAUGUUAGCUUCGUCCGGCAGCAGCAGUUUGGCGCCAAUUCGAGGCUGACAGAAAAACGACCUUAUCAAGACAAGAGACGCGCAUCUCCGCUCGUUCAUUCAGAAGGUAUUUUAGAUGAGAGAAAAUGGAUACAAUCACACAAGAAGAUUACAGUCCAAACACUGAGAGUGAGCUUACUUCACCAUUUCCCCCCAAACGGCCGAGGACAGACUGUACACACAACAACGGUGGCAAAAGCAGUUUUGCAUUUCCGGAACUUGUGACGUUUUGGAAAACCGUCGGCUCCUCAUCAUCGACAAGUACCUGGCAGGAAAAUGCAGGUUUACUACGCGCAGCAGAAGGUGGUGAUAUGGAAGAGCAACUACAAGACGCUCCAUUUAUUGUCAUUCCUAUUGCGAGCUUGACUACGUCACACACUGGAUCGUCUGACGUCAGCUCAAUCUCUGCAGAGAGAUGCUUCAAACUUCUGGUGAGAGAUGAGCAGCCUCCAAUCCCUCCAACCGACAAACUCAGCUCCACCGUGCCAGAUGAUGAAGAUCGGGCUGUAGCAGAGACCUGCACUUCGAAAGAAGGCAACGCUGAUACGUCCAGUCAGCCUGAUAGCAAACUGCUGGGGGAAGCGUGUGAAGACGAGGCGCUUGGAAAUAACAGCGCUGGAGCACUGGUGCAGAAUAGUGCCAGUCAAAUCCAAGCAUUGCAGGUCAGUUCAAGCGACUAUGGGCUCAGAUAUCAGUCUGGUUGCACUUCUGAAAAUGAAAGUAAUCAGGAGUGGCAAGAGCCUGGAUUCACAGAGACUAUCGUAUUCAGCGAGGAAGAUACAGUCUUAUAUCUUUCACUGAUUCUUUCUACUCAAACCCACAACGCUCAGGGAACUUAGCACAGAUUUGUGAAAAUAUUGCUAUAUGUAAGCAGGAAACAGAAGACCAAGUCAAUGAGAAUUGCACGAGCAUGAACUCCCCAUGAACCAGAAGGAUCAAUUGUUUCUUAUGAUGUUGUUUCACUCAGAAACAUUCCAAUUGAGAGGUUGAGUCUUGAUGCUGAUGACUUCUGUGGGGAAAAAGGAGAAGAGGCUGGUGCUAAGAUGAUAGCCCGAGCUCAGAGCAAAACGUCUGAUCACACGACAGGGACUCCCGUGCCUGCACAAAUCUGUCAAGGGCCUGCUGAAGGAGAUAAUGAUGCAAGUCCUUUCGCUGUAAUUGAACCUGCAAUCUGGAGUGAAACUGACAGGGAGGAAGAGAAGAGCUGCAACUCAGGGAGCGCUGCCGCCGGUGUACAAUCACUUCCAUCAGUAAAAGUCUGCACCAUGGAAACCCCUCUCCCCCUCUGCGCCCACGUCCGGCUAUCAAAGGAGGUUUUAACCCUCAACCAGAAUGGAAAGUCAGAUCACCAAAGCCUUACGCAGCAGCGCGAAGAUGGAAAAGAGGACUUAUGUCAGUCAUUCACUGAACCACUGGCUGGUUCUAUCACCACCAACGAAACACACAACAACAGCAGCUGUCACGGGGAAACCGGAGUCAGCCAUGAUACUGUGGGGCAUCAGUUGAAAGAGUCAGAUCGGUCCGGCUGUUUUCAUGUCAGUCCUGAACGAAUGAAGACAAAGGAGGUUGAAUAUUUACAGGCUGAAAUCACCAGAACGGACGGGACAACUGAGAUAAAAGAAAACGGAGGAAUGACAAGUUUUGAAGAAGAAAUAAGAACCGGUGAGCAACCAGAAAACUCCCAGGACACAGAAGAAGCAACGGAAACAUCAUCUGGUAAUUCCAUCAGGCACCGGACCGAAGGCAAAACUAGUAAAUAUGACGACAAACUAACACAUGUGGAUGACGCGUUGAAAAAUAUACUUGGAUUUCUGUCUGAUCACCCCUACAAUGCUGUGAUUUUACCAACGGAAGAAGCAGCGGGUGAAGAGGAAAGAAAAGAAGAGGCAAGUGUGGGUGCAGAACGCGACAUGUACGGUAGCUCGGAGAUAGUUGUGGAACGGGAGAAGGAAGACAUGCCUGAGGAAUGGAUCAGUGAACGGACAGAGGGACACAAUUUAACCCUGGGGAGUCAACGUGAACAAGAACACAAGCUCAGUUGUGUCUCGGACUUUCAACACACAGCUGAGACAUACGUGGUUGAUAAUAGAGAUGACCCUUCGACCUUGACUGCCUUCCCCUUCAACGGACGUCUGCCAGGAGGAAUUGACACGUUCGAAAGGAUCCAACUCUCCCUGGAUGGUGAUGAAGACGGCCUGAGCGAGAGCCUUCUCCUCAGCAGCCUACCUGAGCAGCUGCUGACAUCACCUCAGCAACAGCUCCAUAAGCACGAGGAGGUACCGCAGGAGGAAGAGGAGGAAACAUCUGGUCGUCACCCUGAGAACAAGGCAAAGGGCUUUUCAGGCAUCUAUAGCAUGUGUAAUGAAGUCCCCGACUGGAUCUCAGCAGCAGCAGAAGACAUCGCUCUCGUACGUCCAGAGCAACCGGCAAACUGUGGGAGGACUCACAACUCCCCCGAGUGCUUCCAGGGCGACUUCCAGUCCAGUGUUCCCCCCAGCAGCGAGGGUCCAGCCUCUGACGUAGACGACAGUCUGACCUUUGAGAAGAAAGAGCUGUUCAACAAGGUCUUGAAAGAGCUGAACCUGUUUUUUAGCAUCAGCACAAGUGAUUUCACAAGAGACAGCGGUGCAUCGUCCUCUGAGCAGUGUGUUCGUGUGUCUGGAGCCUCGGAUCGAGACAACUGCAAAGAAGAUCUCAGCAUCGCAAAACUAGGAUGCUAUGGAGACCCAUCGCCAGACUCCGGCCUGGAAAUGUGUGCUGGGGAUCCAGAUGUUUCUCCUACCUGUGAAGGCGAGCAGGAGGUUCCCCUCGGCAGCCAUCUGUGCACCGAGGAGACUCACAAAGAGCCCCCGCAGAGGAAGAGAUGGUCUCCGUCCUUCCCGGGUCCCCCUCUCCUGGAACAACUGGGCUACAGACAGCCGGAGCAGACGAGGCGGCUGGAGCCUCUGCGAACAUGCAACCGGCCCAUCCGGGUCGGACUCUCAAAGAGAGCCAAGACCAAACACCUGCACCCCCCGCCCUGCCGGGGGGCUUCGCUGCCUUAAACAGGACGGAGCGACGAGUGAUGGCUGUUCAUGUGUUGUGUUCUCUGCUUCAUCGCUCUCCAGGCUCCGGUUCCUGCUUCUUUAUUCAGGUUAUACGCUAAUAAGCCAGAUGCUGCUGCCAAGUAAGGAAUCCUGCUCUGUGUCCACAUUGUCCCUGCUCAAAGUAGUAUUCUAGUUUUCAUAUCUUCCCCAAUUUUUAUGCACUGAUCUAUUUAUAUAUUUAUGUAUUUAUUGGCUUUCUUUCAACCCAGAUUAGGGUUGAAAAAAGCACAUAUAUGUUAUUAGGGCAAAACUCAAUUCCUAGUUCUUUGAAUUAGUUGUGACGUGUAAUCGUUUGCUCUCUGCUGUAACGUCUUCUCUGUGCAACGUGUUCCGUGGAACGUCACUGCGAGUUGAAUGUGAAAAUAACCAGUUCCCCAUUCAAUUAAAUACUGUACUUGCAUACAAACGUGUUUUUAAUAUAUAUAUAUACACACACAUGACUCUUUUGGCAACACAUGAAUUAACAUCAAUGAGCUGGUUCCAAAUGAACGUCUCCAGUCGCUGCUCGGGCUCCGAGGCGGUCCGGCUGAGCUCCCAGGUGGACGAUGGACUCAGCUGUUGUGGUAAGUGGUAAGAGAGCUAUUUGGUCUACCUCCUGAAUGGGAACGGGGGGGGAGGUUGGUUGUUUAUCCUCACGUGCGCGGGUGAGACAGAUCCAGGGACAGUAGUGAGGAAAACAACAGGACAGCAGCCAUGUCAGUGAACAAUGGAUCCAUGUUCCCUUCACUGGAAGUCCUCUUUGUAAAAGAGCAGAAUGAAAAUGCAGAAAUGACAUCACACGAUUCUUUUAUCUGUAUAACGACUAAUUAGGACUUCUUCCCCUGCUGGAGCCCCGCAGGGUAUUUUACCAAAGCAAUUUGAGUUUGUUGUAUUCACCGAUGUUUCCCACGACUUUGGAAUAACAUUCGUGUCCCGAUCACGUCUGAGAUUUUUCUGGUGUAUAAUUUAGGUUCAGUGAGCAAGUUGCCUCAGCUGGCAGCCCGAUCAAAGGAAACACAGAGGUAUGGCUUUCCAAAAUAAUUGGAUUCUAGUGGAACACUUUGAAUGUGGCUGCAGCCUUGUGGAUUUGAUUCAUCCCCAGUAGAUAAUGGCUCAGUCACUGUUAGUUCUGCCCUGUGUGUUGGCCUGUUUGAAAUGGACAUUUUUUAACCCCUUUAGCUUAAAGCAUACUUCAUUCAACCAUUGGUGAUCAUUUGUAUUCCACUACAAUUGACAUUACUCUAAACACGCCAUGUUGCGUGUACAUCUGGAACAUGUUUCCUCCAUUUGUUGUCUUACUGCACACGCACAUGCCAGUAAUCUUCCGGGUUUUAGUUACAGCUCACUUGAGGUGCAGUGGAGGGUGUCUCCUAUGCACCAUUCUUACAUAACAGUCGCAUUUUCAAACUAUUCCAACAGCAUUAAAGUUAAUGAGCCAUACUAUUAUUACAAGGACGCCUCUGCUGUGUGUUCUUGUCUGCAUACGUGGGCACAUUUCACAGGAGCUUUUGUGAAUUUUGGAAAUACAGCGACUGCUUCUGCUAAUGUAAGAGCGUCUUGUCUACAAUAGAAUGAAUAAUACAUUAGUUUAAGUCAUUUUCAUGAGAUUGAGUAUUUUUUAUAAGUAUGUAGUCUAUUAUUACCAUAUGCUCGUGAAAUGUUUCUGAUGUCUUCCCAUGCAGUCCUUGUUUGACACAUCUGUAGCGCGGGAUGGAGUUCUGCACUCUGCACGUCUACCGCCCUCCUGCAGGGGGGGUCAGUGCCGGUCUGCCUCAGGGAUCCUAAGCAGGUGAGACAUAUUACUCACAGGUUUCACAGAUAAACAGCACAGAAAAUACUUUUUAGUCAAUACCAGACAAGAGAGGUCAAGAUUGUGACCUUUGAGCGGACCAAACACCUGGAGACGAGUCGUGAGAAAGCCGUGGUAUUGAAGUGUUUGAGGUUAGAGGUCUGAUUGUAGAAAGGUGAGCAGAUGAGCCCAGACGGGGGGGGGGGGAGCAUCGCCCCGGGUCCCCAGUAGACAUUUGCCCUGCUACAUAGCCAAUGCAGCGGAGGGUUCGUCUUGGCCCGUUAUUGCCAGAUGUGAUGUUGAACUGGUUCCUGGUCUCUGUCUAACAUGAGAGACACGUUGCAGCUUUAGAAAGUGAGGACACUUUGAAGGUUCCAGUGGAGCCACAAAGUUCUUACGAAAUGACUCAUACACCCUUUUCUCUAAAGCUUCACUGUGUGAUUCACUUAUAAUGAUCUGCAGGCAUUGGAGAUGUAGAACAAAACUAGAAACAAAACCUGCCAGGGAUUUAUAUUCCUGUGUUAUUCAUGUUCCUGUCAUCACCAAUAUGAAGGGGAUUAAGCACACACUUGUUUUUUUUCAUUAGGCGGGAUGGAACACAGCGUUUUCCCAGCAUGAGAGUCUAAAUAAUGUUGUAAAGCUCAUGCAGAGACCUGCGUAUUGUUCUCCCUUCAUGCCAGUUGGAUCAUUUGCGUGGCUCCUCUGUGGAGGAGUCACCGUGGCCUAUACUUAGAAAGCCUGUUACUGCAGAGCGAGAGGAUAAUUAACACAAUUUGAUUUCAAUAGCAAGCAAGAACAGCCAUUUUGCAGCUUUGAACAUCUAGUUUGUCACUGGCCCAGGCCUCCUGCAGACGGUGAAAAUAAGCGCUAUACUGACAUCCAUCAGCAAAAGAUGAUGUCAUAUAUUCAAAAAAUGUUGAUUCACCUGCAGCUGUUUCUUCUUCUCCAAGUGCACAGCGCAGCCUUAAGAUGUCUGUCUGUUCACUGUGGUUCAUCUCAGUACAUCAUUCGAAGGGGAAACUGUGGAGGCAAAGUGUCUCUCCACCACCAGACACACACCACACACACACACACACACACACUGCGCCGGUAUAUGCUGCCUUUUCCAGAUCAAUAGCAAUCAUUAGAUGAUUGACUCAGACUAAAAAUACACAGGAGUAUCUAUCGCCUCCGCGCUCUACUGAGUUCUCUGCUGGAUCGUACCGGCGUGAAAACACUUUGGGUUGUACGAAUGCUAUUUCAUGGAUGCUUUCAUCAUGAGUGCACGACACGCCGCCGUAACAGUACGUGGGGGUGUCGCUGAUGGGGGUGAGGGGGCGUCCUGACGUUUUACUACAGUCAAGCUCUGCACACAAAAUGUUGAACAACGCUGCUCCACAAAGAAGACAAACGGUUCACACUGGCCACCAUAUGUUGUCCUAAAGAUUCAAGAGAUUACUGGGACCUUUGAACUCAUCAGAACGAUGUCCUAAAUCCCUGCUGAGCUCAAGUCAGUGUGAGUACAGCAGGGUGCAGUAAAUGGAGACUUUAAGGACCUACUCAUUGAUUUUUCUAUCAUUGUUAUCAUCAAAUUAUUGUUCUUCAAUACAUAAAGAUCAUCAUGGCUACAGUACCAACAUUAUAACUUUGAUUCAAUAGCUGCCUGUAGCUCAAUACUGCCAGUGUUUUGGAUGGAGUGGAAUUCUGUAUCAUCAGUGUUUUAGCUUUGUAGGCCACACCAUGAAUCAUCAUUAGGUCCGCUGACAUCCAACGCUGUUCUGGGCAUCAGGGGAAUGUGCUGCUGAGCGAUGAGGUGGCUGCUUAUUCCACUGAGGUGGAGUCCAGUUGAGUGCGUGGAGCAUGAAUCAGGGCCAGGGCCAAUCGGCUGUAAGAACGUGGGCGGGCCUUGUAUUAAUGGCCUGAAUUAACAAGUGCCAAACUCUCACUUAAUUACGUACCAUGCUGCAGUGCCGUUCCAAUCCACCCACACCGACACUGGCCUUCUGAAUCCCAGCUGUCUCCAGAUUUCAGGGUUCAAGCUAAACGCUCCACAUUGCGAUUCAGAUAUGCAAAAUAAUAAUAAUAAUUCAUGCCGUUAUACAUUUUGCAUUUUCCAAGACAGCUUUGAUUGACACGGUCUCCAAACUCAAUACAGACUGAUUAACCUGCUGAUAUUGGACCGGUUUAUUAAUCUGAGGACUAGCAGGGCAAUUUGUUGCCUCGUCUGAAAUGACUGCGGUUUGUGCCGUUGGUCCAUUUGAAAACAUUAAUAUUAAAAGUCACUCUUAAUAAGAGGGAAUCUGUCCUGGAACAGCUUGUGUGGACCGACUGCCAUAGACACGUUCUCAUGUUCUAAAUGGGGGAGCCUGGUUCUGGAUAAAGCAUGUCUGGCUUCUUCCAAGCAGACGCUGUCUGCCAUCUUACUCUCCUAUAUGCUCCGUCACAGCGAACAUUUCCACGUCCCUGAACGGGUCAAAUGACAGAUCUAUUUAUUGUUGGAAGAGUUGGUUUACCAACAGAAGAUCAGUGUGCAAGCAAAGUAUACAAAGGAGUUACGAGCUCACGAUCAGAUUCGUGCUUCUUCUCCUCGCACACACAAGUGGAUACUCUAUGAGUCCUCAUUAAUAUGCCGAGCAUGCUCCUCAUUUCCAUUGAGUUAUGUUUUUCUUGUGAACAGCCCUUGACUCUGUGUUCUCUAUUGGAGGAGAUCACAGGAUUUGAUCUGAAUUCAAACUCAUAAAUUACUUUUAUGGACAUUGGGUUAUUGGAUGACCAAAUACAGCAGAGAGAAAUACAAAUAUUGUCCAAAAGUAACUAAACUAAUAAUAGUGGUAAUGGUUGCGCUCCUUUGGUGCCAACCUGACGACCUGCUUGCGUUUCAAUCUGUUCUCUCCUCUUUCUCUGCUUCUAUCUCUGCUGCCAAAAGCUCUUCAAAGGCUUCAAGGCCGUUCCACAGAGACUGCUCUCCUUGCUGUCUCAGAGCAUCUCCACACUGCUAGAGCUCCUGUCUCUCCUCUGUCCUCAUCCUUCUGGACCUCUCUGCUGCAUUUGACACAGUCAACCACCAGAUACUUAUCUCCUCCCUUCAAGAAACUUGGUGUCUCAGGCUCUGCUCUCUCCCUUCUCUCGUCCUACCUCGACGGCCGCACCUACCGGGUAACCUAGCGAGGAUCUGUGUCGGAACCUUGUCAUCUUACUACUGGAGUUCCUCAGGGUUCCGUCCUGGGUCCCCUCCUCUUCUCGCUCUACACCAACUCUCUCGGCGCUGUCAUUCGCUCGCAUGGCUUCUCCAACCACAGCUACGCCGAUGACACCCAACUAAUUCUCCACCAACUCUCCCUGACCCCCAACAUUACAGCAACAAUACGAUCCUUUAGAUACUCGCUCUACAACAUCAGGAGAAUACGUCCUCUCCUCACUCAGAAGGCGGCGCAGAUCUACAGUCUGAGGCCAUUGUUAUAAAGAGAGAGCCAAUGGAGUUAAUGCGUUUUUCCUUUUUUCUCAAAUCCAACGUGGGCGGAUGCGUGGUGGUCCGGUCUGAAUCGCUGCUGCCUGCUCAGAGCCCACGAUGCCUCCAGGAUGCACUCUGUUCGCUAUCGACUUUCUUUACUCAGCCACUUUGUCCAGCAUAUGAUAUGAUCAGUUCAUCCUGGCUGUAAACAUUUCUGGUAGUCGGCCUUGUUGGGACCUUUUGUGUGGAGCAAAUUGCUUUUUGAAAGUUUUGGUUUUUGUUACCUUGUUGGCUACAAAAUAAAAGCCUCCGGCUUUGUUUCAUAUUCACGUCUUUUUGAGAUGCCAAGUAGGCUCCUUGAUGACUGCAGGAGGGACUGAAGCUAAAAGUCUGCCUGUACGUGCUCACUGAUUGGCUACACGCGUUAUACAAAGACUGCUGUGUCCUCACCUUUGCUCCGUCCCACAGUCCCCUGCAGGUGGUCCCGGGGGACAGUGAUGGUGACCAAAGGUUUGACCUCUGCAGGAGAAUUUGUCAAUGCGCUGACCUGAGGUCAGCCGUCUCCGGGCCUGCAGGGUUCGGCUGGUUUGUCACUGAGGGAAUCCUCCAGAAGCAGCCACACGUCCUCAGAAGCAUGUUGAUGUUUUUAGAAUCAACGCACGUCUCGACACAGAGGCUGAUAAACCGCUGUGAAAUACCAGGGAAAAUAGAGACAGUGCUACCGCCACGUUAUAUUAAUACUAUGGAUUGUGAGGUGGGAGACAAAUGUGGUUGAUGACCAGAGAAAGUAUCAACGCACUGAGAACAGAAAAGAGUGGACCGUUCUAAUCUUUGAACAUGUUCAACAGAUCGAUGCGGUUCACACUGUAAUGUGACGUAAUGCAGAGAGUUAAACUGAGAUUUAGAUGUUCCCCUCCUUUUUCCCUCCCUCCUUUUUCCCUCCCUCCUUUUUCCCUCCCUCCUGCCCAGACAGACGACCAGGAGGGAACCGCUGCUGCAAUGCAGCAAAACAAAUUGUGAGAAUCUAUUAAGCUUUUGUGAUUGUCUCCUUGUUUGUCUUUGUGGCUCCGUCGGGGUUCGACAUGAAAGACGCUCCGAGUAGUGGAAGAUAAAAUCAACAUGCAGCGUAUUUUCACUUCAUGUGUCUUUAGUUGGUCAUAAAGGGAUCUGAAGGCCAUCAUUUAAUUGUUCUGGACACCAUUUCAAACCGGUGCGAUGUGACUUCAGCUGCCGUCCACACGAAGGUCGUCCUUUGCUCACGUCGGCCACCUGCAGCGUCCACGAGGGUUGUUGCACAAACAACGCUGAAUGCAAUGCAGACAAAGACGUCUGUGGCUCACUGGACAGGGAAAAUAAAGCGCGAUGUCCUUCACCCUUUCCACAGGGCACAUGGUGAUGGGACUAAUGGACGGCUCCAAAGUGCUUUGGGUUCAGGGUGACAGGUUCAGACUCUCCUUAUUCUUUGUAAAACCGAACACGUUGCAGCUCCAGGACAAUGUUUCACACUGCGUGUCUGCUUGUGAACAUAACUAAACACUAAAAUAAGAGUAAAUUAACCCUAAAAACACAAGUAAACAUUUCAAGCAGUUAAGAAGCCACUAAAAUGACUCAAUAUGUCGCACACAGAGUCGAGGACAUCGAUCGAGGGAGCGUCUCCUGGUAUCCUGGGUCCCGGACUGUGAUCUCUACCAGGUGGUUGCUGGCUUGUUACAAAAUGAGCACAAGCAAUUACUUGGCGCCCACAUUAAGUGGCACCGUUUACCACAUCGUUUAAACCACGAAGGCCGUUGGAGGCAAACAGGCACAACUACUAUUGUACGAGCUGCACAGUGAUUAUUCACUCAGUGGGGCAACACGCUUCCGUCUCCGGGCUGCGUUUCAGCGCGUGAGGGAUGGAUGGAGGGUGAGGCACUGUUCAUCUGAGGUUGUCGUGGUCGGUGGUGAAUAAGAGUAGAUGGCACACGGCCUGUUACCAUGGCAACGAGUCCCACGUUGACGGGCGGAGUGAAAUGAAUUCCAGUUAUUCUCUCGUUUUUAACAUGUAAAUUCCUCUCCCUCGUUUUUCCUCGGCUCCUCUUACUCACAUGUAUAUAUAUAUAAUAAUAAUAUAAUAUUAUAUAAGUGUGUGUGACGCGCUGAUGGCUGAUGAUUCAGGAGGAGAAUUGAUGCUUAUGUUCAGCUAACACGUUGUGUUUAGCCGCUGGAUGCAAUCACUCAGCAGCUCGACUCAACUAUUGUCAUGGAUUAUUUGUUGUGUAAUAAAUAAAACAACAUUUAAAAGUUCCUCUGGAUCUGUGGUUUUGAUUUAGGAUUUAACUGGCUUAUAUUUCCAGACGAAUUACAUAUCGGAGGGAGGCUGAAAUACAGUACGUGUAGAUAAUACACUAAUUGGAUAACUAUACAAAGGUUAGUUUUAAUUCAUCAUCUGUAUUAAUGAUCUAAAUUAGAGAUAAAUAGUUUUAAAAACUCAGAUCGUAGGCCCGGUAAUGAUUGCUGAUCCAAUACAUAAUGUAGAUAUGUUAAUAUGGCACAAGGCCUGUGUAGCCUGUGUAGUCUGAGACACAAUAAAUGACUCAUGUGCCUUGAUGUAAAACGUAAUAUCUAAUAAGAGCAGCAGGAGGGACAGAAGUUUAACUAAACAGGGAUGUAACAUUCUGCACAUGGCUGCAGAAAUCAACACAACAGGAAUCCCUUCAUUCAUCGGGACGGCAGCAUCGAAACGUAUGACUAAGGAAGUAAAAAAACAAUAUCUCUUUUACUUAAAUGAAAGAGCUUAUUGACAGCAGCUUCAAGAUGAACGCAAACAAUAAACACGAUGGGAUGGAAAUGUUUGCCCCUCUGCUUCGCCUGGAACUCUCCCAGUAGCUGCUGUUGACGGAGGAUGUUCGGCGGCUGAAAGAAAAACACAAUGUGGAGCAAACGCAAACACAGAGCGAGCGGCUAUCUUAAGCCUCGGCUGCAGAUCCGGCCGCAAGAAGGUCCGAUUGAUUCCCGAUGGCGUUUACCAAAGGAUCCUUCUAAGUCCAUCCGCAGAUGGGUGUGCAUGCA
This is a long non-coding RNA of Gasterosteus aculeatus aculeatus (three-spined stickleback), 11587 nucleotides long. The record is from Ensembl. NCBI's taxonomy places the organism in Eukaryota, Metazoa, Chordata, Actinopteri, Perciformes, Gasterosteidae.